AUACGAAGGGGGCUAGCGUUGCUCGGAAUCACUGGGCGUAAAGGGUGCGUAGGCGGGUCUUUAAGUCAGGGGUGAAAUCCUGGAGCUCAACUCCAGAACCGCCUUUGAUACUGAAGAUCUUGAGUUCGGGAGAGGUGAGUGGAACUGCGAGUGUAGAGGUGAAAUUCGUAGAUAUUCGCAAGAACACCAGUGGCGAAGGCGGCUCACUGGCCCGAUACUGACGCUGAGGCACGAAAGCGUGGGGAGCGAACGG
RNAcentral lists this ribosomal RNA (253 nucleotides) under uncultured prokaryote. Its description in RNAcentral is "partial 16S ribosomal RNA". It matches the Rfam family "Bacterial small subunit ribosomal RNA", at positions 523 to 775 of the family's 1533-position model. The record is from RNAcentral.